This 707-nucleotide long non-coding RNA is filed under the name Citrus x clementina. RNAcentral's name for it is "Citrus clementina (C. clementina) long non-coding RNA (CCLE_LNC006547)". The record is from RNAcentral. Lineage: Eukaryota; Viridiplantae; Streptophyta; Magnoliopsida; Sapindales; Rutaceae.
GUAAUGCAUCUUAGACACUUUGUAGAGUUGUAGUAACCCACUAGAUAAAUUAAAAGUAGUUAAUGCACUCAUGCAUUAUUUUAGGCAUAUUAAUGAUCAUGUAGAAAGUAAUCAUUUUGAAUAUUUUUUAUCUUAGUUAAAGAUAGACAACAAGCAUUUAUAACCAAUGGAGAGAGGUAUUUGAUCUAAUAAUCAAUUAUCUUUAUCUGUAUUAUAGAGGAUUUUUAUACAUUUCAUGAAGCAAUUGAAUUUGCUAGACAAAAGAUAGAACCAAAUUUCAAGUUAGCCAUUUAAUUAACCUUUUAAAUAGUGCAUCAACAUCAUUAGCCAAACAAUUAAAUAAUUCUCUAGAUAGUGCAUCAGCAUAAUCAUCAUCAACAAUACAGUUAUGCAAUCACUGUGAAGUCAUGACACAUACAAUUAGAAAGCUUGAUGAUACUUGACAUGAUUCAAAAGUGUUUAAUUUACUCUCAAGUAUAAGAGUGUCUAGUUAUACUAUAGCUUGGUAAGUCCGAGAUCGAUCCACAGAGAAAAUAUUUAAUUUUAUCUAAAAAAUGAAAAUAAAAUUUAAAUAUAUGCAAUUUAACUUGAGAAAAACUAUAACAUUAAAUUAGUUAGGGUUAUGAUCCACUCUUAGUAACAAAUACAAUUUAAUAAAAUUUUUUAUUUUUAGUUUAUUGCCCAAAUGAUUAAUUGUAUAAAUUAUA